Molecule: long non-coding RNA, 2123 nt
Filed under: Triticum aestivum (bread wheat)
Lineage: Eukaryota; Viridiplantae; Streptophyta; Magnoliopsida; Poales; Poaceae
Description: long non-coding RNA (TAES_LNC028013)
Source: RNAcentral
AGAUUUUUGCUCCUAUUGCCGUGUACAGUAUGUCACAGGCUUGCGGAGCCUGUCAUUGUUCUUAGUGUGUUGUUGUGAUUCUUGAACGGUGUCAAUGGUCGUGUACAGGUGUCUUUUGUAGUAUAAAAAGGGCCAGUAUCAGCCGUAGGAUUUGGAUUCAUGCUGUGAAGAUCAUGAAUAUAUAUCUUAUUUUGCUGUUCUAUGCCUCAUUCGUGUACAGAUUCCCUAGCAGUAUUUUUUUCGUCUGCCACUUGCGACUGCCGGGUUCCUGAUGUGCUUCUCAUGCCCCGCAGACCAUUGACCUAUUCGUGGUUUUCGACGUGGCCACUGCCCUACUUCAGGUAAAAUUUCACACUUUGAUGAGGAUUCAUGAGCCCUGAUUUGGGAUAGACAAGUGUAGCAUACUGAGUUCAGGAAAUCAAUUAUGCGGCACGACACCUAUUAGGUGAUUCGUGAACACACAACCAGGAUGAUUCCUAUCCUACCUAUGCUAUGCUUAUUGCUUCCAAGCUAGUGAUGGCGGUCGCAGGUGCAGUACCUGCUGGUUAGUACGUGCUGGUUGUUACUAUCGCUGGCAGUUAGUGUUCAACAUCUAUCGCUUUAGCACCAAGCGACUAAACAAUGUUUUGGUAAAGCUUUCAGAAAUUAGUUUGCAGUGUUGAAUCAGUACACAUCUUUUACCUUCAAUUUGGUAGUAUGAAAAACACAUUAGUAAAUCUGAGUAACUUUGACAUAUUUUCUCUAUUAACUUGCACUGGAUUGGUACCCGUGAUUGCCUUGUACUUAAUUCUGCUAACACUGAUCUUGUUACUGUUAAUUUGUUAUUGCCAUGGUGUUUAUGCUGUUUAGAAUAAGAUCCAUGCAUCAAUUCUAAGUUCUCGUCUCUCUGAAGGGACACUUCUAGCCUAAGAAGCACGGACACGGGGACCGAAAGACGGGGAUACGCAUACGGGGAUACGGGAUACGGCAUUUUCCAAAAACAGCCAUUCGGGGAUACGGCGAGUAUAUAUAUAAUAAAAUAAAAAUAUCGCAUGUAAUAUAGAAUUAAGACAGAAAGUUAAUAAGAAAGAAAUCUUUUUUGCCAAGUCCUUGAUUGAUCCUCAUCCCCCAAUGUCAUGUUGUCAUUGCAAGCUGCAUCCAUCUUGCAAAACAUAUCAAACACAAACAGUAAAGAAGGUUAGAGGACAAGACAUACUUGAAAGAUUAAAGGACAAGACAUACUUGAAGCAACAUGGAGCAGCAGCGCAAGCAUUCAACCCAGCAGCACAAGAUAGCAAGCAACAUCCAGGAUCCAGCAGCUUAAUGGAAGAAAUAUGAUGAAUAAAAGAGGAAGAGGUUGAGAAAUAGGAGGGGCUGUUGGGUUACCUGCGAGGCUACACCUGAGAGUAAAGGCUGCUGGUGCUGGGGCUAGCGGUCGCCGAAUCCAGGUGUCGCCGGCGGCGGCGGCUCGUUCAGUACAACCUGGGAGGGAGCACCUAGUCCUCAUGACGAGAGCGUGCGGGAGACAUAUAGGGUUUGGUAUUGGGUUGGGCCGAGGUUGGUUUUGGGCUGGGCCGUGUCCCAAACGUGUCCCAGACGUGUCCCACCGUAUCCCUGUAUUUUUUUUCCUUUUUAUUAAUCAAAAAUCAUGGGACACGGCUUAGUUCGCGUAUCCCGGCGUAUCCCAGCGUAUCCCCGUAUCCUGCCGUAUCAGGACGACAGUUCAGCUGAUUCUGGCGUGUCCAUGCUUUUUAGCUUCUAGCUUCUAUGACUCGGACUUGUUAACUAUUGUUUCUUACUUUGUUAGCUACGACAUAUAUUUUCCCCAGUUAUUCUAAUUCUUCUCUGAUUCAUGUAACAGGAUGACAGUGGAAGCCAUGUUGUUGUUUUGUUUGUUCCCAGCCCUGACUAUGGUCGUCGAGCGAGUCCGGCAUGUUGUUCAUCUAGUAGAGCUUGUUAGGAGUCUGAAUUUAAGAACUUGUAGAGCUUGUUAGUAUUACAAUUGUAGAGCUUGUUACACUUGUAGAUCUUGUAAAGCAGUAUGGUCUUCUGUAUUGGAAUGGAUAGAGCUUGUAUUAUGUGAUCUGGUUGCUCUUAUUUAAGUAUCAUGUGUGUUUUUGUCUCCGAAAAUCUAAAUAAUGCUU